GGGGGACGGAUGCUCCAGAGUGGUCGAGGGGAGGAGCCACAGAGAUCUCUCAGAGGUGACGUUUUCUGAGCGUGACUCUGACUCAGCGUGGGGUGAGGAGGAAUCAGCGGAAGGUCACGAGGUCAGCCGUGUGGAGCGGAACGCAGUGGUGGUGGUGGAGGGGGACUGGACCGAGACGCAGCACGGUGACCCCACCUUGACCUCUGACCUCCCAACGGCACGGGACGACUUCACACAGGGCCAAGAUGUGUAAGGGACGUACCCAGAGACGGACAGUAGUGAGGGGGGAGGAGCCUGUGGUAACUGGAAACAGGUUCUCCUGGAACACCUUCAUCACCUCAUCCACCUCUACUGUUAGAAGGAGGAGGAAGAGGAGGAGGAGGAGGGGGGGAUGAGGAAGAAGAGGGGAGGAAAAAGGAAUAACAGGCCUCCUUUAUCGCCUCGCUAGUUUCCUGUUUGGCCUCUGAGACCCGCCCCUUUCCCUGAAGAUCCACCAAUCCUAUGCAUCAGGCACAUGCAAUCCCAGAGUGCACUUCAGUCCUACCACCGUCUUCCUGUUUCAACAAUCACAACUGUUUGGUCUUAACUGAUUCACUUAUUUUCUUUCUUUCUGUUUUGUUUUCUUCUUUCUGUGUUUUUUCCGUUUUCCUUUUUUUUUUUGUGUGACCAAAGUUU
Molecule: long non-coding RNA, 675 nt
Organism: Oncorhynchus masou masou (cherry salmon)
Lineage: Eukaryota; Metazoa; Chordata; Actinopteri; Salmoniformes; Salmonidae
Exons: 3
Source: RefSeq, a predicted model, not a curated record